UAAGACGGAGGGGGCUAGCGUUGUUCGGAAUUACUGGGCGUAAAGCGUGCGUAGGCGGCCAUUCAAGUUGGGUGUGAAAGCCCGGGGCUCAACCCCGGAAAUGCGCCCAAGACUGUCUGGCUAGAGUCCGGGAGAGGUGAGUGGAACUCCGAGUGUAGAGGUGAAAUUCGUAGAUAUUCGGAAGAACACCAGUGGCGAAGGCGGCUCACUGGACCGGUACUGACGCUGAGGCACGAAAGCGUGGGGAGCAAACAGGAUUAGAUACCCUGGUAGUCCACGCCGUAAACUAUGAGAGCUAGACGUUGGGGGGCUUGCCCCCCUGUGUCGCAGCUAACGCGUGAAGCUCUCCGCCUGGGGAGUACGGCCGCAAGGUUA
This 375-nucleotide ribosomal RNA is filed under the name uncultured bacterium. RNAcentral describes it as "bacterial SSU rRNA". It matches the Rfam family "Bacterial small subunit ribosomal RNA", at positions 521 to 896 of the family's 1533-position model. The record is from RNAcentral.